Non-coding RNA from Paramuricea clavata, 694 nucleotides. NCBI's taxonomy places the organism in Eukaryota, Metazoa, Cnidaria, Anthozoa, Malacalcyonacea, Plexauridae. The record is from the annotation of a GenBank genome assembly.
CCGGGAUGUAAGUCAUGUGGACAAGUUCUUUGGAAUGUUCAAAUAACAAGAAUAGUGGUGUUAUAGUAGUGGUGGCACUUGCCAGACCUACCGUAACUGGAAAAACUAACAAUGACUUUUCUCCAAAGUCUUAUAUCAGGCUUUUUUUCCGGGAUUUUUAGGGCCGUUAAACGGCCCCAAAAACUCAAUCUUGAAUUGAGUUUUGAAACUCAAUCUUCUCACCAAAGUUUCAGUGCAGUAAAAAUGAAGUUGUUUGAGUUAAAUUUGGGACGUGUGGAAAUUAGUUUUCAGUUGGAAACCCGACAAUUAAGAAAAAAUGGCUGGAAUUCAUCUCACAACACAAGAAAAACUAUGCAUUCGCCAUCGUUAACCAGUUUAUAGUGUCCCUCAAUGCCCCUGCUUUAACACAUUCCGUCUCAACUACAUUUGUUGAGUACAAGUGUCAGCCCCCCGUAGGGGGGGGGGGGCAACCACCACAGCUGUUCAGCUAAACUCAAUCUUCUCUGCAAAAACGGAUCCAAGAGAAAAUCCUGAAAAAAAACCCUGUUAUAUGUACUACAAGAAAUGGCCCAAGGCAUCAAAACAGGGGACAGCCAAAGAAUCACCCAUGGAGCUACAGUUAUAAUAAUACUCUAUCACAUAUUGUAACUUGAUUGUACAGUUAUAAUUAUUAAUUUGAUAAUUAUUCUUUGAC